This 301-nucleotide ribosomal RNA is filed under the name uncultured bacterium. RNAcentral's name for it is "partial 16S ribosomal RNA". It matches the Rfam family "Bacterial small subunit ribosomal RNA", at positions 509 to 807 of the family's 1533-position model. The record is from RNAcentral.
CAGUCGCCACGGGAAUACGAAGGGGGCUAGCGUUGUUCGGAAUUACUGGGCGUAAAGGGCGCGUAGGCGGCCAUUCAAGUUAGAUGUGAAAGCCCUGGGCUCAACCUAGGAAUUGCAUUUGAUACUGUUUGGCUUGAGUUCGGGAGAGGUGAGUGGAAUUCCCAGUGUAGAGGUGAAAUCCGUAGAUAUUCGGAAGAACACCAGUGGCGAAGGCGGCUUACUGGCUCAUUCUAGACGCUGAGGUGCGAAAGCGUGGGGAGCAAACAGGAUUAGAUACCCCUGUAGUCCCUGUCUCUUAUAC